GAUGAACGCUGGCGGCGUGCCUAAUACAUGCAAGUCGAGCGAACGGACGAGAAGCUUGCUUCUCUGAUGUUAGCGGCGGACGGGUGAGUAACACGUGGAUAACCUACCUAUAAGACUGGGAUAACUUCGGGAAACCGGAGCUAAUACCGGAUAAUCUUUUGAACCGCAUGGUUCAAAAGUGAAAGACGGUCUUGCUGUCACUUAUAGAUGGAUCCGCGCUGCAUUAGCUAGUUGGUAAGGUAACGGCUUACCAAGGCAACGAUGCAUAGCCGACCUGGGAGGGUGAUCGGCCACACGGGAACUGAGACACGGUCCAGACGCCUACGGGAGGCAGCAGUAGGGAAUCUUCCGCAAUGGGCGAAAGCCUGACGGAGCAACGCCGCGUGAGUGAUGAAGGUCUUCGGAUCGUAAAACUCUGUUAUUAGGGAAGAACAUAUGUGUAAGUAACUGUGCACAUCUUGACGGUACCUAAUCAGAAAGCCACGGCUAACUACGUG
RNAcentral lists this ribosomal RNA (497 nucleotides) under uncultured bacterium. Its description in RNAcentral is "partial 16S ribosomal RNA". It matches the Rfam family "Bacterial small subunit ribosomal RNA", at positions 28 to 507 of the family's 1533-position model. The record is from RNAcentral.